Molecule: ribosomal RNA, 492 nt
Filed under: fungal endophyte sp. DM187
Lineage: Eukaryota; Fungi
Description: eukaryotic LSU rRNA
Rfam family: Eukaryotic large subunit ribosomal RNA
Source: RNAcentral
UUGUAAUUUGCAGAGGAUGUUUCUGGCGCGGUGCCUUCCGAGUUCCCUGGAACGGGACGCCACAGAGGGUGAGAGCCCCGUAUGGUCGGACACCAAGCCUGUGUGAAACUCCUUCAACGAGUCGAGUAGUUUGGGAAUGCUGCUCUAAAUGGGAGGUAAAUCUCUUCUAAAGCUAAAUACCGGCCAGAGACCGAUAGCGCACAAGUAGAGUGAUCGAAAGAUGAAAAGCACCUUGAAAAGGGGGUUAAAUAGUACGUGAAAUUGUUGAAAGGGAAGCACUUAUGACCAGACUUGGGCCGGGCGGCUCAUCAGGGGUUCUCCCCUGUGCACUCCGCCCGGCACAGGCCAGCAUCGGUUUUCGCGGGGGGAUAAGACCGACGGGAACGUAGCACCCUCCGGGGUGUGUUAUAGCCCGGCGGACGAUACCCUCGCGGGGACCGAGGUCCGCGCUCCGCAAGGAUGCUGGCGUAAUGGUCAUCAGUGACCCGUCUU